GCCGAUGUGGCUCAGUGGUAGAGCAGCUGAUUCGUAAUCAGCAGGACACGGGUUCAAAUCCCGUCAUCGGCU
RNAcentral lists this transfer RNA (72 nucleotides) under Anabaenopsis elenkinii CCIBt3563. It matches the Rfam family "tRNA". From Rfam's summary of the family: Transfer RNA (tRNA) molecules are approximately 80 nucleotides in length. Lineage: Bacteria; Bacillati; Cyanobacteriota; Cyanophyceae; Nostocales; Nodulariaceae. The record is from Rfam by way of RNAcentral.